AAGUAAAAGUCGUAACAAGGUUUCCGUAGGUGAACCUGCGGAAGGAUCAUUACCUAGAGUUGUAGGCUUUGCCUGCUAUCUCUUACCCAUGUCUUUUGAGUACCUUACGUUUCCUCGGUGGGUUCGCCCACCGAUUGGACAAACUUAAACCCUUUGCAGUUGAAAUCAGCGUCUGAAAAAACUUAAUAGUUACAACUUUCAACAACGGAUCUCUUGGUUCUGGCAUCGAUGAAGAACGCAGCGAAAUGCGAUAAGUAGUGUGAAUUGCAGAAUUCAGUGAAUCAUCGAAUCUUUGAACGCACAUUGCGCCCCUUGGUAUUCCAUGGGGCAUGCCUGUUCGAGCGUCAUUUGUACCUUCAAGCUCUGCUUGGUGUUGGGUGUUUGUCUCCUGUAGACUCGCCUUAAAACAAUUGGCAGCCGGCGUAUUGAUUUCGGAGCGCAGUACAUCUCGCGCUUUGCACUCAUAACGACGACGUCCAAAAGUACAUUUUUACACUCUUGACCUCGGAUCAGGUAGGGAUACCCGCUGAACUUAAGCAUAUCAAUAA
Molecule: unclassified non-coding RNA, 548 nt
Filed under: Epicoccum pneumoniae
Lineage: Eukaryota; Fungi; Ascomycota; Dothideomycetes; Pleosporales; Didymellaceae
Description: sequence contains ITS1, 5.8S rRNA gene, ITS2
Rfam family: 5.8S ribosomal RNA (bases 194-347)
Source: RNAcentral